GACGAACGCUGGCGGCGUGCCUAAUACAUGCCAGUUGAGCGAUGAAGAUUGGUGCUUGCACCAAUUUGAAGAGCAGCGAACGGGUGAGUAACGCGUGGGGAAUCUGCCUUUGAGCGGGGGACAACAUUUGGAAACGAAUGCUAAUACCGCAUAACAACUUUAAACAUAAGUUUUAAGUUUGAAAGAUGCAAUUGCAUCACUCAAAGAUGAUCCCGCGUUGUAUUAGCUAGUUGGUGAGGUAAAGGCUCACCAAGGCGAUGAUACAUAGCCGACCUGAGAGGGUGAUCGGCCACAUUGGGACUGAGACACGGCCCAAACUCCUACGGGAGGCAGCAGUAGGGAAUCUUCGGCAAUGGACGAAAGUCUGACCGAGCAACGCCGCGUGAGUGAAGAAGGGUUUCGGGUCGUAAAACUCUGUUGGUAGAGAAGAACGUUGGUGAGAGUGGAAAGCUCAUCAAGUGACGGUAACUACCCAGAAAGGGACGGCUAACUACGUG
This 497-nucleotide ribosomal RNA is filed under the name uncultured bacterium. RNAcentral's name for it is "partial 16S ribosomal RNA". It matches the Rfam family "Bacterial small subunit ribosomal RNA", at positions 28 to 507 of the family's 1533-position model. The record is from RNAcentral.